AACGCGAAGAACCUUACCUGGGCUCGAAAUGCAGGAGACCGGGGUAGAAAUAUCCUUUCCCCGCAAGGGGCUGCUGUAUAGGUGCUGCAUGGCUGUCGUCAGCUCGUGUCGUGAGAUGUUGGGUUAAGUCCCGCAACGAGCGCAACCCUCAUCCCUAGUUGCCACCAGGUCAAGCUGGGCACUCUAGUGAAACCGCCCCGGAUAACGGGGAGGAAGGUGGGGAUGACGUCAAGUCCUCAUGGCCUUUAUGUCCAGGGCUACACACGUGCUACAAUGGUCGGUACAAACCGUCGCAAAACUGCAAAGUGGAGCUAAUCGGAAAAAGCCGGCCUCAGUUCGGAUUGGAGUCUGCAACUCGACUCCAUGAAGCUGGAAUCGCUAGUAAUCGCAGAUCAGAACGCUGCGGUGAAUACGUUCCCGGGUCUUGUACACACCG
Molecule: ribosomal RNA, 436 nt
Filed under: uncultured bacterium
Lineage: Bacteria
Description: bacterial SSU rRNA
Rfam family: Bacterial small subunit ribosomal RNA
Source: RNAcentral